Molecule: ribosomal RNA, 501 nt
Filed under: uncultured bacterium
Lineage: Bacteria
Description: partial 16S ribosomal RNA
Rfam family: Bacterial small subunit ribosomal RNA
Source: RNAcentral
AUUGAACGCUGGCGGCAUGCCUUACACAUGCAAGUCGAACGGCAGCACGGGUGCUUGCACCUGGUGGCGAGUGGCGAACGGGUGAGUAAUACAUCGGAACGUACCUUAUCGUGGGGGAUAACGCAGCGAAAGCUGUGCUAAUACCGCAUACGCCCUGAGGGGGAAAGCGGGGGAUCGCAAGACCUCGCGCGAUUAGAGCGGCCGAUGCCUGAUUAGCUUGUUGGUGGGGUAAAAGCCCACCAAGGCGGCGAUCAGUAGCUGGUCUGAGAGGACGAUCAGCCACACUGGGACUGAGACACGGCCCAGACUCCUACGGGAGGCAGCAGUGGGGAAUUUUGGACAAUGGGGGCAACCCUGAUCCAGCAAUGCCGCGUGAGUGAAGAAGGCAUUCGGGUUGUAAAGCUCUUUUGUCAGGGAAGAAACACCGGCUCUAACACAGUCCGGGAAUGACGGUACCUGAAGAAUAAGCACCGGCUAACUACGUGCCAGCAGCCGCCGUAA